RNAcentral lists this long non-coding RNA (1019 nucleotides) under Heterocephalus glaber (naked mole-rat). RNAcentral describes it as "lncRNA (ENSHGLG00000047973.1)". The record is from RNAcentral. Lineage: Eukaryota; Metazoa; Chordata; Mammalia; Rodentia; Bathyergidae.
GCAAAGAAUUCUGCAGAAGGUGUCUUAAGCAUAGUAAUUCCAAUUGCAGGUGAUUAAAUCCUCUGGAAGACUGGAUCAUCAUGAUCUUGAUUUUUUUCUUGCUGUUGAUUGUCUUGUUACCUAUUCAAUAUGAGUUUGUUCACCAUUUCUAGACCAAAUUAGGAACUGAAUUUUACAACUGAAGAAAAGCACCCUUUUAUCCUAUCACCUUUAUCAUUGCAUUUUCAAUCUUUCUUGUUUAUAAAAUGUUCCCACAACCAGUAACACGAGUCUCAGACUUUAAUAAUCUUUGACAGCAAAAGUCAUGCUUCAGAUUCGAGCCCAGCUUCCAUGGUGUAAGCUCAAAUCAGCAAAACUGCAGAAAACUGUCCUUCCUCAAAUUAUUUCCCUGUUUCUGAUGUCCCCAGGUUAGUGCCUAAUGAAUAUUCAGGCCCAGUCACUUUUGACCCCUGCCUUUUUGUCUUUCUUCUGGGCAGUAAUGCUGCUGGAUAUCACUGUCUUCCCCUGAUGACCACUGAUGAGUCAUCCUAUUAUGGUCUCCAAGCAAGGAGAGGAGAAAACAAAAACAACAAAACUAAAAUCCGUGAAUGAAAGGGAACAUGUAGUGUUCCCUUCCUGUGUCCUCAGGGUGAUAAGGAAGACUGGAGAAGGAAAAUCUACCUACUGCAGCGCCACCUCUCCCAUUUUGGAAACCUGGUCCGAAUGGCACCAUCCACUGGACAUUCCCCAAAUCAAGAUCAAAAGGGCCGGCUUGCAAGUGAACUCACCUGGAGCAGACAUGGAGCCUCCCUUGUGCCUUCCCCUUGCUCAGCUCCGGCUCCAUGUCCAGAACACCAUGGGCCUGCUCUGCAGCCAGAGCCAGCACCAGAGAAAGAGCCUCCUCUGGAGACAGGAGAGAAGCAGAAGCCAGCUCCACAGCACUCCUGCCUCUCUGCUGCCGCUGACAAGGACAGGUCCUUGCAGAAGGUGCUCUUAGCCUUCUCUCCCAAGCUGCUGGCAGAGCAGCUGACCUUGAUGAG